GCAUGGCUGAAUUCUGUACCAGCUGGUCUGUGGUGGAUACAGUCAGACACCGUGCAAAAGCAUCAUCUCAUUUCUGCUAAAUAUGUGGAUGAGUGCUACCAAGAGCCUCAUCCAAAUGUGUAGAAAUGAGUACAACA
This 137-nucleotide small nucleolar RNA is filed under the name Mastacembelus armatus (zig-zag eel). Its description in RNAcentral is "Small nucleolar RNA SNORA15 (ENSMAMG00000009458.2)". It matches the Rfam family "Small nucleolar RNA SNORA15". Rfam says of the family: ACA15 is a member of the H/ACA class of snoRNA that guide the sites of modification of uridines to pseudouridines. The record is from Rfam by way of RNAcentral. Lineage: Eukaryota; Metazoa; Chordata; Actinopteri; Synbranchiformes; Mastacembelidae.